Molecule: non-coding RNA, 73 nt
Organism: Trichonephila inaurata madagascariensis
Lineage: Eukaryota; Metazoa; Arthropoda; Arachnida; Araneae; Nephilidae
Source: the annotation of a GenBank genome assembly
AUCCCUGUUGAGCAAUGAAUAGCACGUUGGACUUGUAAUCCAAAGGUCGUGGUUUCGAACCUCACCUAGGAUG